GGGGCGGGAAGACCCCAGAGACCUCCAGGCCGGUCAGCGAGGGGGUCUUUAAGGGAGACCCGGUUGGACAUUCGGGCCCACCGGACCCUGUGCCCCUUCCUCGCCCACCUUGUCUCCCCUGCGUUGCAAGACAGAGAAGUGAGGAUAGAGACGUGGAGAGACGGGGAGAAAGACGUACAGAGAGACACAGAGACAGAGACGUGGAGAGAGAUAAAGCAAGACGCUGAUCGAGAGACACCGGGUGUGAGAAAAGGACCAGCUCAGCAGCCCCUGGAGCCCCAGCCCCGCCUUCAUGCCCAACCGGUGUCCCACCUGGCCCGUCCUCCCAGGUGAGCCUCAGCCUGUGCUGAAGGCAGUUUGACUCCUGGCCUCCCAGUGACUCGUGAGGAACAUCUGCGGAGGGAGGAUGGCCCAAGUCCUGCACGUGCCAGCCCCCUUUCCAGGUCAGA
This is a long non-coding RNA of Myotis brandtii (Brandt's bat), 449 nucleotides long. RefSeq lists it as uncharacterized. NCBI's taxonomy places the organism in Eukaryota, Metazoa, Chordata, Mammalia, Chiroptera, Vespertilionidae. The transcript has 3 exons. The record is from RefSeq and is a predicted model, not a curated record.